UACGAAGGGGGCUAGCGUUGCUCGGAAUCACUGGGCGUAAAGCGCACGUAGGCGGCUUUCUAAGUCAGGGGUGAAAUCCUGGAGCUCAACUCCAGAACUGCCUUUGAUACUGGAGAGCUUGAGUCCGGGAGAGGUGAGUGGAACUCCGAGUGUAGAGGUGAAAUUCGUAGAUAUUCGGAAGAACACCAGUGGCGAAGGCGACUCACUAGACGACUGUUGACGCUGAGGUGCGAAAGCGUGGGGAGCAAACAGG
Molecule: ribosomal RNA, 253 nt
Filed under: uncultured bacterium
Lineage: Bacteria
Description: partial 16S ribosomal RNA
Rfam family: Bacterial small subunit ribosomal RNA
Source: RNAcentral